RNAcentral lists this ribosomal RNA (789 nucleotides) under uncultured bacterium. RNAcentral's name for it is "bacterial SSU rRNA". It matches the Rfam family "Bacterial small subunit ribosomal RNA", at positions 555 to 1343 of the family's 1533-position model. The record is from RNAcentral.
UGGGCGUAAAGAGCUCGUAGGCGGUUUGUUGCGUCGGCUGUGAAAACCUGAGGCUCAACCUCAGGCCUGCAGUCGAUACGAGCAGACUAGAGUGUUGCAGGGGAGACUGGAAUUCCUGGUGUAGCGGUGAAAUGCGCAGAUAUCAGGAGGAACACCGGUGGCGAAGGCGGGUCUCUGGGCAACAACUGACGCUGAGGAGCGAAAGCGUGGGGAGCGAACAGGAUUAGAUACCCUGGUAGUCCACGCCGUAAACGUUGGGCGCUAGGUGUGGGGCUCAUUCCACGAGUUCCGUGCCGCAGCUAACGCAUUAAGCGCCCCGCCUGGGGAGUACGGCCGCAAGGCUAAAACUCAAAGGAAUUGACGGGGGCCCGCACAAGCGGCGGAGCAUGUUGCUUAAUUCGAUGCAACGCGAAGAACCUUACCUAGGCUUGACAUGCACGGAAAUCCUCCAGAGAUGGUGGGUCCGUAAGGGCCGUGCCACAGGUGGUGCAUGGUUGUCGUCAGCUCGUGUCGUGAGAUGUUGGGUUAAGUCCCGCAACGAGCGCAACCCUCGUUCUAUGUUGCCAGCACGUCAUGGUGGGGACUCAUAGGAGACUGCCGGGGUCAACUCGGAGGAAGGUGGGGAUGACGUCAAAUCAUCAUGCCCCUUAUGUCUAGGGCUGCAAACAUGCUACAAUGGCCGGUACAAAGGGCUGCGAUACCGCGAGGUGGAGCGAAUCCCAAAAAGCCGGUCUCAGUUCGGAUUGGGGUCUGCAACUCGACCCCAUGAAGUUGGAGUCGCUAGUAAUC